AGGGGCAGCGGGAUUGAAGCUUGCUUCAAUUGCCGGCGACCGGCGCACGGGUGAGUAACGCGUAUCCAACCUUCCGUACACUCAGGGAUAGCCUUUCGAAAGAAAGAUUAAUACCUGAUGGUAUGAUGAGAUUGCAUGAUAGCAUCAUUAAAGAUUUAUCGGUGUACGAUGGGGAUGCGUUCCAUUAGGUAGUAGGCGGGGUAACGGCCCACCUAGCCAACGAUGGAUAGGGGUUCUGAGAGGAAGGUCCCCCACAUUGGAACUGAGACACGGUCCAAACUCCUACGGGAGGCAGCAGUGAGGAAUAUUGGUCAAUGGACGAGAGUCUGAACCAGCCAAGUAGCGUGAAGGAUGAAGGUCCUACGGAUUGUAAACUUCUUUUAUAAGGGAAUAAACCCUCCCACGUGUGGGAGCUUGUAUGUACCUUAUGAAUAAGCAUCGGCUAACUCCGUGCCAGCAGCCGCGGUAAUACGGAGGAUGCGAGCGUUAUCCGGAUUUAUUGGGUUUAAAGGGAGCGCAGACGGGUCGUUAAGUCAGUUGUGAAAGUUUGGGGCUCAACCUUAAAAUUGCAGUUGAUACUGGCGUCCUUGAGUGCGGUUGAGGUGUGCGGAAUUCGUGGUGUAGCGGUGAAAUGCUUAGAUAUCACGAAGAACUCCGAUUGCGAAGGCAGCACACUAAUCCGUAACUGACGUUCAUGCUCGAAAGUGUGGGUAUCAAACAGGAUUAGAUACCCUGGUAGUCCACACGGUAAACGAUGGAUACUCGCUGUUGGCGAUAUACUGUCAGCGGCUUAGCGAAAGCGUUAAGUAUCCCACCUGGGGAGUACGCCGGCAACGGUGCAACUCAAAUGAAUUGACGG
Molecule: ribosomal RNA, 859 nt
Filed under: uncultured Bacteroidota bacterium
Lineage: Bacteria; Pseudomonadati; Bacteroidota
Description: bacterial SSU rRNA
Rfam family: Bacterial small subunit ribosomal RNA
Source: RNAcentral